Molecule: ribosomal RNA, 301 nt
Filed under: uncultured bacterium
Lineage: Bacteria
Description: partial 16S ribosomal RNA
Rfam family: Bacterial small subunit ribosomal RNA
Source: RNAcentral
CAGUCGCCACGGUAAUACAGAGGAUGCAAGCGUUAUCCGGAAUGAUUGGGCGUAAAGCGCGCGCAGGCGGAUAGGUCAGUCUGUCUUAAAAGUUCGGGGCUUAACCCCGUGAUGAGAUGGAAACUGCCAAUCUAGAGUAUCGGAGAGGAAAGUGGAAUUCCUAGUGUAGCGGUGAAAUGCGUAGAUAUUAGGAAGAACACCAGUGGCGAAGGCGACUUUCUGGACGAAAACUGACGCUGAGGCGCGAAAGCCAGGGAGCGAACGGGAUUAGAUACCCGAGUAGUCCCUGUCUCUUAUACAC